CCAAUAGCGUAUAUUAAAGUUGUUGCAGUUAAAAAGCUCGUAGUUGAAUUUCGGGAUUAGUAAGUUGGUCAUGCCUCUGGUAUGUACUGGCUUUACUGAUUCCUCCUUCUUGAAGAACUGUAAUGUCAUUAAUUUGGUGUUGCAGGGAAACAGGACUGUUACUUUGAAAAAAUUAGAGUGUUUAAAGCAGGCUAACGCUUGAAUACAUUAGCAUGGAAUAAUGAAAUAGGACGUUUGAUCCUAUUUUGUUGGUUUCUAGGAUUGACGUAAUGAUUAAUAGGGAGAGUUGGGGGCAUUAGUAUUCAAUUGUCAGAGGUGAAAUUCUUGGAUUUAUUGAAGACUAACUACUGCGAAAGCAUUUGCCAAGGAUGUUUUCAUUAAUCAAGAACGAAAGUUAGGGGAUCGAAGACGAUCAGAUACCGUCGUAGUCUUAACCAUAAACUAUGCCGACUAGGGAUCGGAUGAUGUUAAUUUUUUAAUGACUCAUUCGGCGCCUUACG
RNAcentral lists this ribosomal RNA (500 nucleotides) under uncultured Glomeromycotina. Its description in RNAcentral is "partial small subunit ribosomal RNA". It matches the Rfam family "Eukaryotic small subunit ribosomal RNA", at positions 591 to 1092 of the family's 1831-position model. Lineage: Eukaryota; Fungi; Glomeromycota. The record is from RNAcentral.